UUUCCUCUUUGGCUUUCUAUCAUAUCAGCAAAUUACAGUAAAAGGAAGAAAUUAAUAAGGUUGUGACUACUUAGGCACGUAGUUCUCAAUGGCCAGAAAUCGUGUAGCUAUGUUGGCUGUACUGGUGGGUUUUUUGUUUUUCCCCACUCCCUCCUCCUAUGAGACGGGUGCUCUAAGGAUAGGCUGGCGUUGGUAGAAGCAACUAGAGUUCCCGCUGCCAAAGGUCAGUACGUAUAAUCAUGAAGUAUAUGCUGUAUGCAUGCAUGUGUAGUACUAGGAAGUGAUGCACGUAGCUCGGGUGUCUGAUGAUAUGUAAAUAAUAAUUAAUGUUGUUGCAGUGGGGAGGAUGAGGAUAGCUCGGGCGGAGAAGUUUGGAUGGUUUGAGAGCUGGUUUGGGAGAGAGAGAGGCGCUAAGCGCAGCACUUCAGUGCCAGCUGCCCACGGCAACGACCCGCCUCGUCGCUGUUGCUCUUAAUUAAUCACACUGCAUGCUCUUGGAUCGUCAGAUCUUCGGCCUGAUUGUUGCCCAGUUGGCCUAACUUUCUGUCUAUUUGAAUAAAUAAUGAUGGUAAUAUUUUUUUUUAUCUUUUGAUUUCUACCAAUUAAUGUAAUAUUGUUUACCCUUUUCAUAUAUCUUUUGAUAAACUUGGGAUAAGUUUAUAUGCCGACUUAAUUUCAACUUGGUUAAGUAUUUUAUUUAUAUACGUAGGUUAAUCACAUAAUAUAUAUCUCCGAAUAUUUGAUUUACAACGAA
Molecule: long non-coding RNA, 754 nt
Filed under: Linum usitatissimum (flax)
Lineage: Eukaryota; Viridiplantae; Streptophyta; Magnoliopsida; Malpighiales; Linaceae
Description: long non-coding RNA (LUSI_LNC005550)
Source: RNAcentral